UGAUCCUGGCUCAGAUUGAACGCUGGCGGCAGGCCUAACACAUGCAAGUCGAGCGGUAGCGGGAAGACUUGCUCUUUGCCGACGAGCGGCGGACGGGUGCGUAACACGUAGGAAUCUGCCCGGUAGUGGGGGAUAGCCCGGAGAAAUCCGGAUUAAUACCGCAUACGCCCUAAGGGGGAAAGCAGGGGAUCUUCGGACCUUGCGCUAUCGGAUGAGCCUGCGUCGGAUUAGCUUGUUGGUGGGUAAAGGCCUACCAAGGCGACGAUCCGUAGCUGGUCUGAGAGGAUGAUCAGCCACACUGGGACUGAGACACGGCCCAGACUCCUACGGGAGGCAGCAGUU
Molecule: ribosomal RNA, 342 nt
Filed under: uncultured Endozoicomonas sp.
Lineage: Bacteria; Pseudomonadati; Pseudomonadota; Gammaproteobacteria; Oceanospirillales; Endozoicomonadaceae
Description: bacterial SSU rRNA
Rfam family: Bacterial small subunit ribosomal RNA
Source: RNAcentral